AGUGAACGCUGGCGGUAGGCCUAACACAUGCAAGUCGAACGGCAGCACAGGAGAGCUUGCUCUCUGGGUGGCGAGUGGCGGACGGGUGAGGAAUACAUCGGAAUCUACUUUUUCGUGGGGGAUAACGUAGGGAAACUUACGCUAAUACCGCAUACGACCUACGGGUGAAGCAGGGGAUCUUCGGACCUUGCGCGAUUGAAUGAGCCGAUGUCGGAUUAGCUAGUUGGCGGGGUAAAGGCCCACCAAGGCGACGAUCCGUAGCUGGUCUGAGAGGAUGAUCAGCCACACUGGAACUGAGCCACGGUCCAGACUCCUACGGGAGGCAGCAGUGGGGAAUAUUGGACAAUGGGCGCAAGCCUGAUCCAGCCAUACCGCGUGGGUGAAGAAGGCCUUCGGGUUGUAAAGCCCUUUUGUUGGGAAAGAAAUCCAGCUGGUUAAUACCCGGUUGGGAUGACGGUACCCAAAGAAUAAGCACCGGCUAACUUCGUGCCAGCAGCCGCAGUAA
This 505-nucleotide ribosomal RNA is filed under the name uncultured bacterium. RNAcentral's name for it is "partial 16S ribosomal RNA". It matches the Rfam family "Bacterial small subunit ribosomal RNA", at positions 29 to 523 of the family's 1533-position model. The record is from RNAcentral.